CAGGGGGGAGGAGGAGUUAAGAGAAGAGUGGGAAUGAGGAGGCCAAGGGGAAAAGGUGUUCCCUGGUGUCCCGAGGGGACAACAGGAAGUCAAGAUUUGCUGGUCUUCCUCUGGGGGGACCUCAUUGUCUCCAGCCAGACCCAAGAAUCACAGAAUUGAAAGGGGCACAAGAGGUUAACCUUGCGGUGCUUAAAUGUGAGAGGAGACAGCUGGAAGGGUCCCAACGGGGUCACGGAGGACCGACCCUGUGCCUGCUACGGUGAGCUGGAAACGGAGAGACAACGAAGUUAAGCAACUUGCUUAAACUCACACAGCCGGUAAACAGGGGAGCUGGGAUCUGAACCCAGAUGGUCGGGAUCCAGAGCCCGAGUGCACACACACACCAACCCCAUUGUGCUCUCUGGCUCCGUGCCGUGAGGCAGAAAAACUGUGAGCAGGCUUGCCGGGCACCUGCCAUCCUGUACCCCAGUCAGGGGUCCUGGUCUCCCCAGUUCUUCUCAUUGCUCCAUCUUUGGUCCUGUUUCCAGGAAUUAAUGUGCACAAGACACAUUAACAAAAAUGUUAUUUGGUUAGCUCAUUCAUGCUGCAAUGGAAUGAACACAGGCAUCAGAGCGAAGCAGACCCAG
Long non-coding RNA from Neofelis nebulosa (Clouded leopard), 626 nucleotides. RefSeq lists it as uncharacterized. The record is from RefSeq and is a predicted model, not a curated record. The transcript is spliced from 3 exons. Lineage: Eukaryota; Metazoa; Chordata; Mammalia; Carnivora; Felidae.